UACGAAGGGUGCAAGCGUUACUCGGAAUUACUGGGCGUAAAGCGCGCGUAGGUGGCCAUGUAAGUCCGCUGUGAAAGUCGAAGGCUCAACCUUCGAAAGCCGGUGGAUACUGCAUGGCUAGAGUACGGAAGAGGCGAGUGGAAUUCCUGGUGUAGCGGUGGAAUGCGCAGAUAUCAGGAGGAACACCAAUAGCGAAGGCAGCUCGCUGGGACGUUACUGACACUGAGGCGCGAAAGCGUGGGGGAGCGA
This 249-nucleotide ribosomal RNA is filed under the name uncultured bacterium. RNAcentral's name for it is "partial 16S ribosomal RNA". It matches the Rfam family "Bacterial small subunit ribosomal RNA", at positions 524 to 771 of the family's 1533-position model. The record is from RNAcentral.